Molecule: ribosomal RNA, 394 nt
Filed under: uncultured bacterium
Lineage: Bacteria
Description: partial 16S ribosomal RNA
Rfam family: Bacterial small subunit ribosomal RNA
Source: RNAcentral
AUACGUAGGGGGCAAGCGUUAUCCGGAAUUAUUGGGCGUAAAGAGUGCGUAGGUGGUUACCUAAGCAGGGGGUGAAAGGCACUGGCUUAACCAAUGUCAGCCCCCUGAACUGGGCUACUUGAGUGCAGGAGAGGACAGUGGAAUUCCUAGUGUAGCGGUGAAAUGCGUAGAUAUUAGGAGGAACACCAGUGGCGAAGGCGACUGUCUGGACUGUUACUGACACUGAGGCACGAAAGUGUGGGGAGCAAACAGGAUUAGAUACCCUGGUAGUCCACACCGUAAACGAUGAGCACUAGGUGUCGGGGGAGCAAUUUCUCGGUGCCGCAGGUAACGCAUUAAGUGCUCCGCCUGGGGAGUACGUACGCAAGUAUGAAACUCAAAGGAAUUGACGGGG